GAUGAAGAACGUAGCAAAAUGCGAUAAGUAAUGUGAAUUGCAGAAUUCAGUGAAUCAUCGAAUCUUUGAACGCACAUUGCGCCCGCCAGUAUUCUGGCGGGCAUGCCUGUUCGAGCGUCAUUUCAACCCUCAAGCACGGCUUGUGUGUUGGGCUCCGUCCCCCCGGGGACGGGCCCGAAAGGCAGCGGCGGCACCGAGUCCGGUCCUCGAGCGUAUGGGGCUUUGUCACCCGCUCUGUAGGCCCGGCCGGCGCCAGCCGACAACCCAUCAUCCUUUUCAGGUUGACCUCGGAUCAGGUAGGGAUACCCGCUGAACUUAAGCAUAUCAAUAAGCGGAGGA
RNAcentral lists this unclassified non-coding RNA (339 nucleotides) under soil metagenome. RNAcentral describes it as "partial contains 5.8S ribosomal RNA, internal transcribed spacer 2, and large subunit ribosomal RNA". The stretch from base 1 to 120 matches the Rfam family "5.8S ribosomal RNA", at positions 35 to 154 of the family's 154-position model. The record is from RNAcentral.